GCUUGCUUUGGCAGUGCAUAUACUAAAAUUAGAACGAUACAGAGAGUAUUAGCAUGACCCCUGUGCAAGGAUGACACACAAAUUCAUAAAGUGUUCCUUAUUUUU
This is a small nuclear RNA of Leopardus geoffroyi (Geoffroy's cat), 105 nucleotides long. The record is from RefSeq and is a predicted model, not a curated record. Lineage: Eukaryota; Metazoa; Chordata; Mammalia; Carnivora; Felidae.